ACGGGGGUUGCGAGCGUUGUCCGGAAUUACUAGGCGUAAAGGGCAGGCAGGCGGAUGCAUAAGUUAUUCGUUUAAGGCCUCAGCUUAACCCACGAACGGCAUUUGAAACUAUUCAGCUUGAGUAGGGGAGAGGAAAGUGGAAUUCCUGGUGUAGAGGUUAAAUUCGUAGAUAUCAGGAGGAACACCGGUGGCGAAGGCGACUUUCUGGCCCUAUACUGACGCUGAGACGCGAGAGCGUGGGUAGCAAACAG
This 251-nucleotide ribosomal RNA is filed under the name uncultured prokaryote. RNAcentral's name for it is "partial 16S rRNA". It matches the Rfam family "Bacterial small subunit ribosomal RNA", at positions 525 to 775 of the family's 1533-position model. The record is from RNAcentral.